GUGAGGAAUAUUGCGCAAUGGCCGAAAGGCUGACGCAGCGACGCCGCGUGAGGGAUGAAGUCCGUUAGGAUGUAAACCUCUUUUGCAGGGGAUGAAUGUCCCGUUUGACGGGAUUGACAGUACCCUGCGAAUAAGGAUCGGCUAACUACGUGCCAGCAGCCGCGGUAAUACGUAGGAUCCGAGCGUUGUCCGGAAUUACUGGGUGUAAAGGGCGUGUAGGUGGGUUCCUAAGUCGAUGGUGAAAUCCUGCAGCUUAACUGCAGAACUGCCUUCGAUACUGGGGAUCUUGAGUGCGGCAGAGGGAGAUGGAAUUCAUGGUGUAGCGGUGAAAUGUGUAGAUAUCAUGAAGAACACCGGUAGCGAAGGCGGUCUCCUGGUCCGCAACUGACACUGAGGCGCGAAAGCGUGGGGAGCAAACAGGAUUAGAAACCCCUGUAGUCC
Molecule: ribosomal RNA, 441 nt
Filed under: uncultured bacterium
Lineage: Bacteria
Description: bacterial SSU rRNA
Rfam family: Bacterial small subunit ribosomal RNA
Source: RNAcentral